Molecule: ribosomal RNA, 489 nt
Filed under: uncultured bacterium
Lineage: Bacteria
Description: partial 16S ribosomal RNA
Rfam family: Bacterial small subunit ribosomal RNA
Source: RNAcentral
GACGAACGCUGGCGGCGUGCUUAACACAUGCUAGUCGAACGGUGAAGGGAUCAGCUUGCUGGUUCUGGAUGAGUGGCGAACGGGUGAGUAACACGUGAGUAACCUGCCCCCUUCUUCUGGAUAACCGCAUGAAAGUGUGGCUAAUACGGGAUAUUCUGGGUCUGUCGCAUGAUGGGUCUGGGAAAGAUAUUGUUUCGGUGGGGGAUGGGCUCGCGGCCUAUCAGCUUGUUGGUGGGGUGAUGGCCUACCAAGGCGGUGACGGGUAGCCGGCCUGAGAGGGUGGACGGUCACACUGGGACUGAGACACGGCCCAGACUCCUACGGGAGGCAGCAGUGGGGAAUAUUGCACAAUGGGCGCAAGCCUGAUGCAGCGACGCCGCGUGAGGGAGGGAGGCCUUCGGGUUGUAAACCUCUUUCGCCAGUGAAGCAGGCCUGCUCCUUGUGGGUGGGUUGACGGUAGCUGGAUAAGAAGCGCCGGCUAACUACGUG